This 392-nucleotide ribosomal RNA is filed under the name uncultured bacterium. RNAcentral describes it as "bacterial SSU rRNA". It matches the Rfam family "Bacterial small subunit ribosomal RNA", at positions 28 to 416 of the family's 1533-position model. The record is from RNAcentral.
GAUGAACGCUAGCGGCAGGCCUAAUACAUGCAAGUCGAGGGGGCAGCGCGGUAGCAAUACUGGCGGCGACCGGCGCACGGGUGCGUAACACGUAUGCAACCUACCUUCAACUGGAGGAUAGCCCGGGGAAACUCGGAUUAAUACUCCAUAACACAGGGAUCCCGCAUGGGAAUAUUGUUAAAGCUACGGCGGUUGAAGAUGGGCAUGCGUUCGAUUAGCUAGUUGGUGUAGGUAACGGCUCACCAAGGCUACGAUCGAUAGGGGGUCUGAGAGGAUGAUCCCCCACACUGGUACUGAGAUACGGACCAGACUCCUACGGGAGCAGCAGUAGGGAAUAUUGGGUCAAGUGGGCGCAAGCCUGAACCAGCUAUGCCGCGUGCAGGAGAAGGCCC